UGGGGAAUAUUGCACAAUGGGCGCAAGCCUGAUGCAGCGACGCCGCGUGCGGGAUGGAGGGCCUUCGGGUUGUAAACCGCUUUGUUCAAGGGCAAGGCACGGUC
This 104-nucleotide ribosomal RNA is filed under the name uncultured bacterium. Its description in RNAcentral is "partial 16S ribosomal RNA". It matches the Rfam family "Bacterial small subunit ribosomal RNA", at positions 355 to 457 of the family's 1533-position model. The record is from RNAcentral.